CUAUGUGAUUGAACCCUAGAAUCCUUAGAAUCUGCUUUGAAGGGCCAUUCCUGUGCUAAAUGUCUUAGAUUCAGUUCCCUAGAAAGAGAGACCGAGACAAAGAUUGGAGAGCACAGAUUCAUCAAGUGUUUUCUCUCAGGAGAAAAUAUUUACAUAAAGAAAGAGGGAUGACACAGUGGAGAGCUAUGCAAGGAUGUGGUCUCAGGUGUAGUCUAAACUGCAUAAAUUGCAACACAAAGUUAAUCCCACCUUGAGGCAAAGGAACUAGGAAUUUGUUUAGUCAGACCCUGGCUCUGGGCUUCCCAAGGGUGGGCAAAACCUCUCAUGUGGGACAGCUUCUGUUUUGCCAAAGGCAGUUUUCCAAAGAAUGAGGAAAUUUAUAAGCCAUUAGCAAUCAAUUCUCACAAUAGUUGGGGAAUGGACACUCUGGCUCAGAAAAGUGAACCAUUAACUCUACUAUAGGAAUUGAGUUAUGGCAAAAGUGAACAGGUAAAAUUUGAAACUGAUACAUAAUUUUAUAAUUUGAAUUUAUUUGGUAAUUGAUAUUUCAUUUAUCAAAAAUGAUAAAAGGAUCUUUAUUGGGUAUAUUUUAUUAUCUUUUAAGAAUUGACUAGUAAAACAAAGAUACUUCAAGUUGGUAUUACAUAAGUUUCCCUUAUUUUUGUAAUUUAUUCCCUUAUUUUUAAAUUUAUUCUUGGAUUAUUAUUAACAAUAGAAUAAUUAAUUCUAGUAAGUAGCUAAAUCACUGGUGAUAACAACACUUGAAAUCAUCUAUCUUGGAUAGAAAAUCAGAUACUCUAUAUAAUAAAAAAAUUGAUGUGGUUUCAAGGGAAGAAUACUCUUGAUUAUAAUGUCAUAUUUGUAUAACUUUUGUUAAUGACUUUAUUUGAGAAUGAUAUUCUCUUACGCUUGAGUUUUAUGUUAAGACAAACCACCUACGAAACUAUAUAGAUGAGAUUACAUAUAAAUUCUUUGGAAAAUUUUCUGGAAUAGCUAAUAAAAAAGCAGUGUAGAGGGUGGGCUUUUAUAAACUCAUCAGUCAAGCUGAACUGUCCAUAGGCAGGAGUCCCUACUAAUAGUUUCUGUCAGUAUCCUGAUGGAUUUCACUGGAUUUUAUUUGUCAUGAGAGACUGACAAAAUGCUCUAUUAUGAAUGAAAGUCCUCUUUACCAGAUCUUAUCAGUCAGGCACUCAUUAGCAAAAUCAUACCACUCAUUAUUUCAUUUGGAGGCUGUUUGCUGAUUUGUGUUCCCAAAAGAGGAAGGGGGACUUCUAACAAUAAAAGAAAGCCUAUGACAUGGUGAUAAAAAUGUAUGUUUUUAUAACUGUGCAGUUUUUGAACUACUGUCACAUUUUGCUUCUCAUUUGAUUUUUGCAAGUUCUCUAUGAAGUAGGCAGGGCAUACCAUGUCUGGAUUUUUGAUUUAUUUGUUUUUUUUUCUUUACUUUUUUUUGUAAAAAAUAAACAAACAAAAACAGACAUUCAAACAUAUCCAAGGUAAUAUAGAAAGGAAGUAUUAGAGCCAAACCCAGACUUAUGGCUCAUUUCCUGAUAUCUCCAAAGCCUUUUAAAAUUUAUAAUGUUAUAGUUUUUUCUCUCAAGAUAUAAUGAAGCAUUUUAUAAAUAUAUGCUUGUAAAAAAUGCAUAACAUUAUUUUUACCUUAUGAAUAAAAUACAUCAGUCACACAAUCCCAGAGAUUUAAUAACACAAAGUUUAGUAGGCCCUCUUUGAUACUUUCCUGUGUUUGAAUAAUGACAAUUUUACAAACCACUGCUUUUUCAGUUGUUUAGCUAUGGAACUUACACUUGGCUGAGAAUUUAAGCAGUGGGAUGAUAUACUUAGCAAAGUGCCCCACAUUCAGGAAGGAAGCUAAAAGAGUGUGGCCAUACAAUUCAAAAAUACUUUCCCAAUAGGAAAUAGUUUAACAACUUUGCUGUUAAAUUUAUUGCUGCAGGGCUGUUAUGUCAGCUGCUUAACUUAAAGAUCACCCAAAUGCUUUUCCCCUCCCUUCUAACCAAGAGGCAACGGGUGCAAAGAUCAAGUUCCUUUCCUGAUGUGGAAACAUGGCAUUCAGCAGAGUAGGCAGGGACUCAAAUCAAACAAUGGUUGUCAAGAGCAUCAACCCUACAGAAUAGCUGCCAACCUCCUGCACUCCUCAGAUUCCAACCUCUUAACCUCCAGCUUACUCCAUCUUCCUGUUCAAUUUGAUCUUUAGAAAUGAUUCCAGCAAUGGAGAAUAAACAACAAGGGUUCAAGAAAAUAAAGAAAAUAAGAUGGUCAGAUACAUUUACUGCCCAUUUAGAAAUCUGUGUGCUCCUACAAGUGCUAUAUUCAGCAGUGUACCUCAGGGCAGAAAGGGGAAAUCUGAAGGGGUUAAUACCAGCUACAUUAUGAGGCAGCUGGUUUAUAUCUGAGGCUUUGUGCUCAUGCCAGUCUCAAGCCCAGGUAAUUUAUAAUAGCCUAAAGUUCCAAUAUAAAAAGCACAUAGCUGCAGGGAGACAUGUCAGCUUCCCUUACAUAGCCUGUCAUUUCCUUGGAAACAUAAUAAUUAAGAUGUCUGGUAUAACUGCUUCUGCCAGAAAUAUUUUUAGAUUUCAGCCCAUUUCAAGAAACUCUAAAUUCAAGGAGAGAAUUAUUAAAUACUGCAUGACAAACUAAGGAAAGUACUCUUACAGGCUUGUUCUGUCAAAAGGAACAGAUACUUCAUCUAAAUCUCUUGACAGUAAGUAGAGAAAUACCUAGACUUGAAUUAAAAAAAAGGAUUGGCAUCAGUUUGAUUAGAGCACAAGCAGAUGAGAUGGGGGAGAAAUAUGCAUUCCUCAUCAAAAGCAGUUUUUUCAGUUUAAAAGACUGACACCAUUUUAAACGUAGAAUGGCAUUGUUUCUCCAUCCUCAAUGCAAUUGCCUUUUAUGAUUUCCUAUGUUAUUCAUAAACAACUACUUAUUGUAGCAUGGAGGAACUACUGAAGAUGCUAUUCAAUAUCAACUUGUGUGAAACUAUCGGAGGUGGUAACUCAUGGCGUUGUAUGGUGAAUUAAUUUCCUGGAGGUAUGAUUAAACUAUGUAUUUUGCAUUAAAAUAAUUCACCUUGUAAUAUAUUUAACUUAUAGAGGAAUAUGGUUAGAUAAAGAAAAUUUAAAUUCAAUGGGUUAAAAUAAUUAAAAAGAGAAUGAAAAUUCCCUUUUUAACAGUGAAGGCUAUUUUUCAGAUCUCUUUCAGCUUCUUUAAUAAAAUCUCUUAGUAUGAACUGAGACAAGGCCAUAAAUUCAAUUCAGUUACAAUAAAAGAGUCAAUAGAUAUAUGAUGAUAGCAAAGAUAACAUUACAAUUUUAUAAUGAAUAUUAGGAGAAAAAGUAAUUAAAGAAUCAUUUAGAUUCAGCUAACAUUGUUGAAACCCUAGUAUGUUCCAGAUAAUGUGCUAGGUUACCACGCCCACAAACGUUAUCACAUUUAAUCUUCACAACACUCUACAAAAGGGUACAUUGCCCCAUUUUAUAUGAGGGGACUGAAUCUCAACAUCAUAGUUAUUAAAAGGAAAAUUUAUAAUUUUUCUGUCUCUUUUCUGUUUGAAUCACAUUUCUUUAAAAAAAAUUAUUACCUAUUUGUUUUCAUUGAAGACCACUAAAAAUAGCAUGGAAAAUUAUAAUUCUCUAUAUCUACCAUGACUCCUUGCACAAAAAUGUCCUUGAGAAUGAGAAUAAUUUGUUUUGAGGAGCUAUUUAAGCUGCAGUAGUACUAGGCUAAAUAGACCCCUAUUCAAAAUGUGACUUAAAGGCUUAUAUAGACUCUGCUGACAAAAAUCAAAGAAGUAGAACCUUAAUGAUAAUGUUCAUUCUCCCUCUCUUGCUCUAUUUUUCCUCCAUUGCUCUGAUCUUCUAACUCUACUUCUAUCUUUAUUUCUGUAACUGCUUCUUUUAUUUACCUCCACAUAUAUACAUAUCCACACUCCUAUCAUGCCUCUGUAUUUGCUGUCUCCCCACCCCACCCCCAUCUCAAUAAGAAGCACCUUGAGACCAGAGAAUUUCUCUGUUUGGUUCACUGGUAUUCUGCUUAAUCUGAAUCUUAGUAAUCUCAGUAAAUAUUUGCUAGAUGAAGAAAUUAUGUACUUUUUGACUGUCUUCUUGAUUUCAGACUUCUAGUUCCAGAGAGAACAGAAUUCUGUGUUUUAGGCCAAUCGGCUUUUGACACUUUUUUAGGGGUAACCCUAGAAAGAUAAUGUAACAGAGAACUUUUUGUAUUUGACCAACUUUGGCUACCAAAAGAAUUUGUUGGGAGUUCACUCUUUCCAAAGAAUUAAGCAAGGCAUAUGGGAUGCAGAGGUGAGUAGGAUUAAGCAGUACCUGAGGAAUUUAUGGUUUUCUGGAGAAGACAGAAAAAGCACAUAGAGGAGUCCCAUCACACCUCAGUGGAAACAAAUCUGACUAGAGGAUGUGGAUUCAGUUGCUGCCUUCACUUAGUGGGUCACGGAUCCAGCAUUGCCAUGAACUGUUAGUUUAGUUUGCAGACACAGCUCUGAUUCCGUAUUGCUAUGGCUGCAGUGUAGGCUGGCAGCUGUAGCUUUGAUUCUACCCCUAGUCUGGGAACUU
RNAcentral lists this long non-coding RNA (4586 nucleotides) under Sus scrofa (pig). RNAcentral describes it as "lncRNA (ENSSSCG00030054419.1)". The record is from RNAcentral. Lineage: Eukaryota; Metazoa; Chordata; Mammalia; Artiodactyla; Suidae.